ACCCUUUAACGUUUGAUGUUCUAACCCGGGUCCAUAAUCUGGAUCGGGGACCGUGUCUGGUGGGUAGUUUGACUGGGGCGGUCUCCUCCCAAAGAGUAACGGAGGAGCACGAAGGUUGGCUAAGCAUGGUCGGACAUCAUGCGGUUAGUGCAAAGGCAUAAGCCAGCUUGACUGCGAGAGUGACGGCUCGAGCAGGUACGAAAGUAGGUCUUAGUGAUCCGGUGGUUCUGAAUGGAAGGGCCAUCGCUCAACGGAUAAAAGGUACUCCGGGGAUAACAGGCUGAUACCGCCCAAGAGUUCAUAUCGACGGCGGUGUUUGGCACCUCGAUGUCGGCUCAUCACAUCCUGGGGCUGAAGUAGGUCCCAAGGGUAUGGCUGUUCGCCAUUUAAAGUGGUACGCGAGCUGGGUUUAGAACGUCGUGAGACAGUUCGGUCCCUAUCUGCCGUGGGCGCUGGAAGAUUGAGAGGGGUUGCUCCUAGUACGAGAGGACCGGAGUGAACGCACCACUGGUGUACGGGUUGUGAUGCCAAUUGCAUUGCCCGGUAGCUAAGUGCGGAAGAGAUAACCGCUGAAAGCAUCUAAGCGGGAAACUUGCCUCGAGAUGAGUCUUCCCUGACCCUUUAAGGGUCCUGAAGGAACGUUUGAGACUAAGACGUUGAUAGGCUGGGUGUGUAAGCGCAGCGAUGCGUUGAGCUGACCAGUACUAAUGAACCGUGAGGCUUAACCUG
Molecule: ribosomal RNA, 729 nt
Filed under: Morganella morganii
Lineage: Bacteria; Pseudomonadati; Pseudomonadota; Gammaproteobacteria; Enterobacterales; Morganellaceae
Also listed under: 1 other name
Description: partial 23S ribosomal RNA
Rfam family: Bacterial large subunit ribosomal RNA
Source: RNAcentral